RNAcentral lists this ribosomal RNA (474 nucleotides) under uncultured organism. RNAcentral's name for it is "partial 16S ribosomal RNA". It matches the Rfam family "Bacterial small subunit ribosomal RNA", at positions 332 to 797 of the family's 1533-position model. The record is from RNAcentral.
UACACUCCUACGGGAGGCAGCAGUGGGGAAUAUUGCACAAUGGGCGCAAGCCUGAUGCAGCCAUGCCGCGUGUAUGAAGAAGGCCUUCGGGUUGUAAAGUACUUUCAGCGGGGAGGAAGGCGAUAAGGUUAAUAACCUUGUUGAUUGACGUUACCCGCAGAAGAAGCACCGGCUAACUCCGUGCCAGCAGCCGCGGUAAUACGGAGGGUGCAAGCGUUAAUCGGAAUUACUGGGCGUAAAGCGCACGCAGGCGGUCUGUCAAGUCGGAUGUGAAAUCCCCGGGCUCAACCUGGGAACUGCAUUCGAAACUGGCAGGCUAGAGUCUUGUAGAGGGGGGUAGAAUUCCAGGUGUAGCGGUGAAAUGCGUAGAGAUCUGGAGGAAUACCGGUGGCGAAGGCGGCCCCCUGGACAAAGACUGACGCUCAGGUGCGAAAGCGUGGGGAGCAAACAGGAUUAGAAACCCUUGUAGUCCCA